RNAcentral lists this ribosomal RNA (882 nucleotides) under Staphylococcus sp. C10I1. RNAcentral describes it as "bacterial SSU rRNA". It matches the Rfam family "Bacterial small subunit ribosomal RNA", at positions 97 to 968 of the family's 1533-position model. RNAcentral also lists the same sequence under 1 other name. Lineage: Bacteria; Bacillati; Bacillota; Bacilli; Caryophanales; Staphylococcaceae. The record is from RNAcentral.
GGCGGACGGGUGAGUAACACGUGGGUAACCUACCUAUAAGACUGGAAUAACUCCGGGAAACCGGGGCUAAUGCCGGAUAACAUGUUGAACCGCAUGGUUCUACAGUGAAAGACGGUCUUGCUGUCACUUAUAGAUGGACCCGCGCCGUAUUAGCUAGUUGGUGGGGUAACGGCCUACCAAGGCGACGAUACGUAGCCGACCUGAGAGGGUGAUCGGCCACACUGGAACUGAGACACGGUCCAGACUCCUACGGGAGGCAGCAGUAGGGAAUCUUCCGCAAUGGGCGAAAGCCUGACGGAGCAACGCCGCGUGAGUGAUGAAGGUCUUCGGAUCGUAAAGCUCUGUUGUUAGGGAAGAACAAAUGUGUAAGUAACUGUGCACAUCUUGACGGUACCUAACCAGAAAGCCACGGCUAACUACGUGCCAGCAGCCGCGGUAAUACGUAGGUGGCAAGCGUUAUCCGGAAUUAUUGGGCGUAAAGCGCGCGUAGGCGGUUUUUUAAGUCUGAUGUGAAAGCCCACGGCUCAACCGUGGAGGGUCAUUGGAAACUGGAAAACUUGAGUGCAGAAGAGGAGAGUGGAAUUCCAUGUGUAGCGGUGAUAUGCGCAGAGAUAUGGAGGAACACCAGUGGCGAAGGCGGCUUUUCUGGUCUGCAACUGACGCUGAUGUGCGAAAGCGUGGGGAUCAAACAGGAUUAGAUACCCUGGUAGUCCACGCCGUAAACGAUGAGUGCUAAGUGUUAGGGGGUUUCCGCCCCUUAGUGCUGCAGCUAACGCAUUAAGCACUCCGCCUGGGGAGUACGGUCGCAAGACUGAAACUCAAAGGAAUUGACGGGGACCCGCACAGCGGUGGAGCAUGUGUUUANNCGAAGCACGCGAAGCA